GUGCUCGCUUCAGCAGCACAUAUACUAACAUUGGAACAAUACAGACAAGAUUAGCAUGGCCCCUGAGCAAGGAUGACACACAAAUUCGUGAAGCAUUCUGUAUUUUU
Molecule: small nuclear RNA, 107 nt
Organism: Dipodomys ordii (Ord's kangaroo rat)
Lineage: Eukaryota; Metazoa; Chordata; Mammalia; Rodentia; Heteromyidae
Source: Ensembl